GACGAACGCUGGCGGCGUGCUUAACACAUGCAAGUCGAACGAUGAGGCCUAGCUUGCUAGGUGGAUUAGUGGCGAACGGGUGAGUAAUACGUGAGUAACCUACCUUUAACUCUGGGAUAAGCCUGGGAAACUGGGUCUAAUACCGGAUACGACCAAUCUCCGCAUGGGGUGUUGGUGGAAAGCGUUAUGUAGUGGUUAUAGAUGGGCUCACGGCCUAUCAGCUUGUUGGUGAGGUAACGGCUCACCAAGGCGACGACGGGUAGCCGGCCUGAGAGGGUGACCGGCCACACUGGGACUGAGACACGGCCCAGACUCCUACGGGAGGCAGCAGUGGGGAAUAUUGCACAAUGGGCGCAAGCCUGAUGCAGCGACGCCGCGUGAGGGAUGACGGCCUUCGGGUUGUAAACCUCUGUUAGCAGGGAAGAAGAGAAAUUGACGGUACCUGCAGAGAAAGCGCCGGCUAACUACGUGCCAGCAGCCGCGGUAAUACGUAGGGCGCGAGCGUUGUCCGGAAUUAUUGGGCGUAAAGAGCUUGUAGGCGGUUUGUCGCGUCUGCUGUGAAAGGCCGGGGCUUAACCCCGUGUAUUGCAGUGGGUACGGGCAGACUAGAGUGCAGUAGGGGAGACUGGAACUCCUGGUGUAGCGGUGGAAUGCGCAGAUAUCAGGAAGAACACCGAUGGCGAAGGCAGGUCUCUGGGCUGUAACUGACGCUGAGAAGCGAAAGCAUGGGGAGCGAACAGG
RNAcentral lists this ribosomal RNA (741 nucleotides) under Rothia mucilaginosa. RNAcentral's name for it is "bacterial SSU rRNA". It matches the Rfam family "Bacterial small subunit ribosomal RNA", at positions 28 to 776 of the family's 1533-position model. Lineage: Bacteria; Bacillati; Actinomycetota; Actinomycetes; Micrococcales; Micrococcaceae. The record is from RNAcentral.